Cygnus atratus (black swan) is the source of this 1828-nucleotide long non-coding RNA. RefSeq lists it as uncharacterized. The record is from RefSeq and is a predicted model, not a curated record. The transcript has 3 exons. NCBI's taxonomy places the organism in Eukaryota, Metazoa, Chordata, Aves, Anseriformes, Anatidae.
ACUGAAACAUUUUUGCAAUAUAGCUCUCCCUCUGUGCUAUGAUUCAUAUAACUAUGAAUCUCCUUAUGCAUGCUAGGACGAGGCAGCUCUGUCAGCAAUGUCAGAAUUAGUAGCAGUUGCAGGAAGAAGGGAUAAAUGUGCAUUAGCUCAACCACAAGUCAUUGGUAACAUUCCUCCAGAGGAACACAGGAACCGGUCCAUGACGUCUAGCGCUCUGCUAUCACAGGCAAUACGAUACCCAUAAUCAGUUUAUUAAGCUGCAUCUUAGAAAUGUACUCACAUAGUGGGGAUAAUUCCUUCCAUUCCAGGAAUCACUGGGUAAAGUUUCUAGACUGAGUUAAGAAAGGUCAGGUUAGAUGAUCAUAGGGUGUCUGCUGGCUUCAACGUCUCAAAAUCUCCGCAGGGAUUUAGAAGGAGCCAACAAAUUUUCACUUACACUCACAGAUGUCAACACCUGGAUGUUCCUAUGCAUGGACACCUCCACCUCCAGGUGACAUCCAGGAUUAAAACAAUCUGAAGACACCCAACCAGUCACUCCUACAGCAAGUAAAAUGACUGCUGGUUGAGCUACAAUAUUUGGACUGCCUAGUCUGCAGGACAUUUCAACUGAGUGACUUCCCAGCUGUGAAGACUUCAGUAUUGAUGUAUCCAGUCAAUAGCAGGGAACUUGAGGGGAAAAAUAAAGUAGCACAGACAUAGACACUGGAAAAAGCAACACCUCCUGAAUUACCACCACCACUUCCCAGGGAGGUAGUGGUUGGAUCUGUUAGUAGUCUGCCAACUACUGACUCAGCCUGUCCCCAUUUUUAUGUCCAAGACCUAAUAAGAUCAAAUUGAAAUUGCUUGCAUUGGGGUAGCAUAUAGAGUUUCAUACAGGAUCACCAUCUCCUUAAAAUCAAUGCACUUAGUAUAAUCAUAACACACCCUGUUACUAGAGGUUGACAGUCAAGGUGGGUUAUGAGGUAGCAACAGGUUCAGAGUUGACAUGGCAUGGCUGCAUUACACAGGAGAUCGGCAGCAGAGCUGGAAAGAGGAAUAAAGGUUGUUUGAAGCUCAGUUUCUCCCUUCACAUCUGGGUCACUAACUUCUGACUGACUGCCAGAUCUCUCCAGAAUAAUAACAUUCACCAAGGAAAUAAAUCACUAAAGAAUAAAAAGGACACUGCUGUCAACCAUGUGGGUGCUCAGCAUCCCACUCCAUAAAAACAAGACCUCAGAGUUAGUUUUAGAGAUGCAUAAUAAAUGUGCUGUCUUUAGUAGAAAGCUUUUGGCUUCCUGUACAGAUCAGCAUUUUUCAUGUAAACAUCCAGAAACUGUGUGAAAACUAAAAUUUGCCCCUGGGAGUAACUAUUGAUUUAUAUUAUAAAUGCUAAUGAACCAGGGCUGUAGACAUCACCUUUUCAUUUGACCCAUAUUAGUUGGCCAAUGUUCAAAUUCUCACUGAACCAGGAUUCAAAGAUCUGCAUUCAGUUUUAAAGAUGCUUUGCUUUACCCUGAGAUAAUCAAUGUUGUUCCUUGUUUCUGUACUUGAAAUAAGAAAAUAUCAUUAUUUUUCACUCUUUUUCUGCUUAGCCUCUGUAACAAAGUAUGCUUUUAAUUUUUUUUUAAUUUUAAUUUUUAUUUUUUUUUGUAAUGUGUGAAAGUACCAUCAAGCUUAGGAUCAUGGCUGAGAACUCCCUGACACUGCUAUAAUACUGGUAAUAAGGAGGCAAUUUUUAGUUUAAGAGAGUUCAAUAUGUUUUCAUGUUCAGUCAGAAAAAUCAGAUGAAAGCUGAAAAGAUGAAUACCUGGACCUUUCUAUUUUGUGGUUUUGAGAUAAACUUGGAACU